RNAcentral lists this ribosomal RNA (408 nucleotides) under bacterium enrichment culture clone ALO1_GLFRUDD03GLY4G. RNAcentral's name for it is "bacterial SSU rRNA". It matches the Rfam family "Bacterial small subunit ribosomal RNA", at positions 9 to 418 of the family's 1533-position model. The record is from RNAcentral.
GAGUUUGAUCCUGGCUCAGAUUGAACGCUGGCGGCAUGCCUUACACAUGCAAGUCGAACGGCAGCACGGGAGCUUGCUCCUGGUGGCGAGUGGCGAACGGGUGAGUAAUGCAUCGGAACGUAUCCUGGAGUGGGGGAUAACGUAGCGAAAGUUACGCUAAUACCGCAUAUUCUGUGAGCAGGAAAGCGGGGGACCUUCGGGCCUCGCGCUCUUGGAGCGGCCGAUGUCGGAUUAGCUAGUUGGUGAGGUAAAGGCUCACCAAGGCGACGAUCCGUAGCAGGUCUGAGAGGAUGAUCUGCCACACUGGAACUGAGACACGGUCCAGACUCCUACGGGAGGCAGCAGUGGGAAUUUUGGACAAUGGGGGCAACCCUGAUCCAGCCAUGCCGCGUGAGUGAAGAAGGCCUU